GGAGAAACACAAAUUAACUCAGAGACAGACUGAUGCGACACAACCAUCCAGACAUGGCUGGUAAGGACAUGAGGAGGAAACAGUAGGAGCUGUGUGAGGAUACUAAAGGCAGUGGAUCCCUCAGCAGCUGGAUUACAAAGAGCACAGUCUCAGAUCAGCACAGCCCUGCCCUCCAGCACUAUCAGCAGCAGGAGCAGCAGCAACCCCUCAACAGCAACAUUGUACCCAUCAGCACCCGCCCCUUUAAACGUCUCUGCACGGCCCUGGAGAAAAGAGUCAGACAGUUACCAAGUUGGAGCUUCACUCCAUUGUCAUCAGAAGGAGCACCCAGAGUCAGACUGAACAAGAAGAGGAGCAAGAUCAUGUCGGAGCUUUAAGUCUCAAAGUUUGAUGAGGAGCUACUGAAGCUUCUUUGUACAGGAUGUUCAGAUUUCUGCAGAGCUGAAGCUGCUUUCUUUUAUACCUGAGUAAGAGUGUGAUUUCACUGCGGUGUGACAUCAUUGGCCACAUGGAACAAAGCUUUCCAUUGUACACAAUAACACUAAACAGAAGCCAGAAAAAACAUCACAUGCCAAAAAAGUUAAUAGUUGUUGAACAGUCACGUUUUCUUGGUACUUCCAGGAGAACGUGACUGUUUUUGAUGUAAUUCUAUAUUUAUGGUUUGAUCAAAGGCCUUUUCAGCAUAAUGAGUAAAGAAACAGGACAGUUGUAACAAGAAGGAGCAAGUAGAGCUGCUCUCAUAAACAAAGACAGAACAAAUUCCUUACAUUAAAGAGCAUCAUCUCUCUCUUUUUAAAUCAAAAUUUUCUGUAAAAUGCAAAAAGGAAGAGCCCUCUUCUUUCAUCUGUUUUUGCAUUUAUAAGAUUUGGGCCAGGAGCGGAGGAAAAUAGUGAGACAUUUCUUUUUUUUUUUUUCUUGGUCCUUUUCAUGUUUCUACAGCAGAAUCACUGUGGCGAUCACUUUGAAGUCUCUUUGUGCUUGUUUUCUGUCUUAUUUUGUUUUGCUUUGCUACAUAAAUUACAGUACAGCAAAGUUCAGGUACUUGUGUCAGUAGUAUUUGGUGACCUGCACAGCGGACUCCAUUCCUACAAUCAAACAUGCACAAAGAGAAAAAGUGAGAGAGGCUGUCCGCUCGGGAGUGCAGAAAGAGAGCAUGACCUUCAGUAGCUUCAAGUGUUAAAGGAUCAUUUAAUCCCACAUUAACGAGUUCAUGAAGUUUUGAGAUUUAAAAAACAAACAAACAUGCUUUUACAAACACCACAGUCACUGUUUCUUUUUAAACGACAGAAAAGUUAACAGAUAAUUACUUCUUUUUUCCAUCCAUCCAUCCAUCCAUCCAUCCAUCCAUCCAUCCAUCCAUCUUCUUCCGCUUGUCCGGAGCUGGGUCACGGGGGCAGCAGCCUAAGAAGAGAAGCCCAGACCUCCCUCUCCCCAGCCACCUCCUCCAGCUUGUCCGGGGGAACACCCAGGCGUUCCCAGGCCAGCCAAGAGAUAAAAUCUUUAUAUGAUCUGGGUCUGCCCCGGGGCUUCCUCCUGGUGAAACAUCCUUGUCAGAUGCCCAAACCACCUCAACUAGCUCCUUUCCUCCAUUUGAUGUGGAGGAGCAGCGGCUCUACUCUGAGCCCCUUCCGGAUGGGUUAACUUCUCACCCUAUCUCUAAGGGAGAGGCCAGCCACCCAUCGGAGGAAGCUUAUUUCCGCCGCUUGUAUCCGCAAUCUUCUUUCAGUCACUACCCACAGCUCGUGACCAUAGGUGAGGGGAGGGCCAUAGGUCGACCGGUAGAUUUAGAGCUUCGCUUUUACACUCAGUUCUCUCUUCACCACCACGGACCGGUGCAGCAUUCACAUCACUGCAGCCGCAGCACCAAUCUGUCUGUCAAUCUCCCGCUCCCUUCUCCCGUCACUCACUCUUCCACUUGGAACAAGAACUUGUCCCUGACCCGGAGUGGGUACUACACCCUUUUCCAUUUGAGGACCAUGGCCUCAGAUUUGGAGGUGCUGAUUCUCAUUCCCACCAGUUCACACUCAGCUGCGAACCAUUCCAGCGCGAGUUGGAGGCAAUCACCUGAUGAAUCCAACAGAACUGCAUCAUCCGUGAAAAGCAGAGACGAUAUUCUGAGACCACCCAAGUGUGAGCCUCUGCCACUUGGCUGAGCCCAGACAUUCUGUCCAUAAAAAUUAUGAACAGAAUCAGUGCCAGGGCUGCCCUAACCCUAAGCCUUAUUUUUAAGUUACACUUUAUUAUAAAUUCAACAUGAUGUCACAAAGUUUGCAGAUAUCUUAAGACCAGUUUUAUUAAUAUACUUUGGAUUGCAAUUAGAAUCAAGUCUUCUUUGACUUUAUUAAAAGACAAAACACAUCGAUUGCAUUUACUGAGAAAGUUUCACAGACAGGUAGAGAUGGCAGUUGCUGCUUGUGACGAUAGUUUCAACAUAAUGCAAAAAAAUAUAAUGUUGUCCUAAUUUGGACCGACGUGUGGAAGUGGAUGGCUUUCUGUGGGGAGUCGGAGCUGUUUGAAUAGACUGAAAUAAUCUGCUGUGAUGCUCUGGAUUCUCUUACCUGUGUGUAAAAGUUGCUUUUGGUCUUAAAAUUACUGCAGUGAUUUACAAGAAAUGCCCAGUAUUAAUAUUGUUUUUUUUAAUCCAGUGUAAAAAAACCCAACAACAACAACAACAAGUGGUUCACAGCAGAUAAUUUACUGCAUUUUAAAAUUUUGCAAUCCAUGUAUUAUUAGUAAAAUUCCUGGUAAGAUAUCUACGUAAUACAUUUCACAAAUUAUUUGUUUAUUAUUUAUUUUUUAUUUAUUUAUUCAUUGUCAGUCUUAAGAAAGCCAGGGAGGGCAUUCAGAUGGUCCCUGCCAGGUAGUGCAGUUUCCAAUAAAUUUGACUUGGUUGUUAUCGGUUGUUAAUAAUCUCUU
This is a long non-coding RNA of Oreochromis aureus, 2916 nucleotides long. NCBI's taxonomy places the organism in Eukaryota, Metazoa, Chordata, Actinopteri, Cichliformes, Cichlidae. The record is from Ensembl.